CCUACGGGUGGCAGCAGUGAGGAAUAUUGGUCAAUGGCCGAGAGGCUGAACCAGCCAAGUCGCGUGAGGGAAGACGGCCCUACGGGUUGUAAACCUCUUUUAUCUGGGAGCAAAGUGAACCACGUGUGGCUCAUUGAGAGUACCCGAAGAAAAAGCAGCGGCUAACUCCGUGCCAGCAGCCGCGGUAAUACGGAGGAUGCGAGCGUUAUUCGGAUUUAUUGGGUUUAAAGGGUGCGCAGGCGGAGGUGCAAGUCAGCGGUCAAACUGCGGGGCUCAACCGUAGAAUUGCAAAUGAUACUGGCAGUCUUGAGUACAGGUGAGGUAGGCGGAAUUCGUGGUGUAGCGGUGAAAUGCUUAGAUAUCACGAAGAACUCCGAUUGCGAAGGCAGGUUACUAAACAGCCACUGACGUUGAUGCUCGAAGGUGAGGGUAUCGAACAGGAUUAGAUACCCGUGUAGUC
Molecule: ribosomal RNA, 460 nt
Filed under: uncultured bacterium
Lineage: Bacteria
Description: partial 16S ribosomal RNA
Rfam family: Bacterial small subunit ribosomal RNA
Source: RNAcentral